UAAAAAUAAGCGUGGGUUGGCUAGCUCUGUCGACAAUGUUUUGUCCAAGGAAAAGACCAUAUUCUGUCAUUGUGUCUGAAAAUGAAAGCAUAAACGAAAAAGUGAAAUGCUUUUGUCCUAUGAGAGAGUUAACACACCUACCAGUUAAUAAAAGUCAUGAAAUUUUUGAUAGAGCAACCAACCAUGAAGCAAUGGAAACUAAUAUUUGCAGUAAUAAUAAUACAGAAACGGAAUGUGACAGAAAUCCUCAGACCUUACCAGUCAAACAACAUAAUUGUCGACAGUGUUUAGCUGGACAAGGGGGUCAUUUCAUGCAUUUAUCAUCAGAUGGUAACAAUAACAGGUGACACGAAGAUAAUACAGUCAAGUUUCAAGGAUCUCUUAGAACAGAUGUCUCAAAUAUUGUGUUCUUUUAUCCUGUAUAGUGUGAUCAGAGGCACAUGUCUCAGGAAUGAGUUCUGUACAUUUGUAUUUAGUUACACUGUGUUGUCAGUAAAGACUACUUAAGAUUUGUCCCACGUAGUAUGUAAUGUACUUGUCAGCAGUUCAGUAUUUAAAAUGGUCAGCUGCACUGGUCAAUAGAUAAAAAUCUGUUUGCUACUAAUAUCUAGUUUCCAGAACAAAAAAAUACUUUCUUGCAGUCAAACAAGGUUUGUUCAUCAAGACAUUCAUUUCUUUUGUCCUGUCUUGACAAAGUCAUGAAAGCGAGACAAAGGUUUGUUGUUUCCCAGGACAGUAGUGUCAACAGUGUAUGCGAUUAGGUCAGUUUUAGGGAAACCACAAGUUUCAGGUCAAUGAUAAUUGGUAUGCAGUUGUGUUAGCAUUGGCACAUCUCAUUUUCAUGGAGAUGAUAUGACCCCGCCCCCCUCAAGAAUAGUCUAUUGACUUUGAAAAUUUUGCUUAGUUUACAUGUUUAAAGUUUGUGAUUAGGUCAGUUUAUGGGAACCACUAUUGGUCAAUGGCAUUUGGUAUGCAGUUGUAUUAACAUUUGCACAUAUCAUAUCCAGGGCCUGCUCCCUCUGUCAUGGUCUGUUGAAUUUGAAUGUUUUGCAUAGAUUAGUUUACAUGUUAAAGUGAGUGAUAAUAUAUAGGUCAGUUUAAAAUGAAACUUUAUUAGUAAGUCCAUGGUAUUUGCAAAUGAUCACAGACACGUCUCAGGAGCUUGUUUUGUUAACACUGCCCAUUUCCAUUGAGACUAAAUGGCCAGCCCAAUCAGUCAUGGUUCAUGGACAUUGAAACAUUUGCAUACUUUCAAUGUUAAAGUUAAUGUGGUCAUAUGGUUUCUGGUGGAGAGUUGUCUCAUUGGCAGUCAUACCACAUCUUUUUAUUUUGAUAUAAGGAAAUGUUUAGUGACUGCAAGCAAAGUGUCUAAAAACUAAAAGUAUUUAAUUUACUACAAUGGAAAUUAAUCAAAAUUGACUGAAAGACUGGAAAGACCAAAUUUGUCAUUUCAGUUCUAAUUAUUUGGGCUUGUUCUAUAUUUACCGUACUCUCAAAAAGAUUUUAAUUUUUGCCAUUUUCCUACUGUGUAGAAUGGGGCGCAUAUAUUUGCCGUUUUAUGAUUUUGAGGUGUAGAAACUUCAAAGGAUUGCUGAAAUGGAAGAAAUAUGCUGGUAAAUUAUAUUUUUAUAACAUAAAGGAUAAUUUUUUAAACUUAGAAAAAAUUUCGGCACUUACCGCAAAGGACCGAAAAACGGACAACGAUUUUCGGCCAAUUUCCUAAAUGAAAAAAAAGAUUUCAAAGAAGUAUUUCUUAGUAAUUCUUUGACUGAUUGCCCUAAAUUUCAGUUCUUUACAUCUUUGAAAUGUCUGCUAUUCAUCUAUAAGGAAAUUGAUUUGAUAAAUAUUGUUUAAUGCUGCAGUUAUUUGGUUUUAAAUAGAUGUGUAAAAACGGCGUAUAUCUGUCCCCCUAUGACAAUCAUCAGGAAAUUUCAAAUAGCCUUUAAUCUAAUUUUUCAGAUGAAUUUUUUCAGAGAAACACGUUUUCAAGCGAAGAAUAGUUUGCUUUUGAUGUUAUCUUCAUAUAGAAAUAUCAGUAUACUUCAAAACUUAAAGAUCUGAACAUAAACUGCAGAAAACAUGGAAAAUUAUGGCAAAAUGAGCACCCCACUCUAUGAAGUUUUUGACAGAAUUUUUUUACCAUAUGAAAAUUCAUUAUUUGGAGAACUGCUAUAUAUAUAUACAUUCAAACUAGCAGUCAUAUAAGGUAAAAAUAAAAAAAGCAAAUCUCAUGUCGUCAUAAAAUUUGAUUUUUGUAGUUUAUAAUGUUUAUUUGUCACUAAAUUCCAAUGGUUCAGCAUAUUAAGAUUGAAAUAUAAUUUUUGACAAGUACCGUUUGAUUUUUUAAUUUACAGUCAGAAACAAGCAAUGCCUAUUUGUGUCUUGGUUGGAGUUGGUUCACAUGUAAUAACCCUCCAUUUUGCUAAAUAUAAGUAAUAGAUAUGAAAGAAGAUGUCAAGUAAAGGUCAAGGAUGUAAAAAAUUAUAUAUUUAAUUUACAUCAUGUUUAAUAACACUGCUGACUUCAAAUAAUUCAAAAUAAGAUACAUGUAGAAUGAACUUAAUUGUUUGAAUGAUUGUAAUUGACCAUGGAAUUAUCUCCCCUUAGCAAAAAAUUAUAUAUGUAGUACUACAAUUAUAGCCUAUGCUGUAAAACAGUGAAUAACUUAAAACAAGAAUUUUAUUCUAUACAAAUCGUUGCUAAAACCAACUUAGGAAUUGGCUUGUUAUGUUAACAGAAGUUGUUUUGUCUUUAUAUAUUUUUUUAAAAGAAUAUUUUUGUGAACAGGUACAAUUAUCGGUACGGUCGAAACAUGCAAAUCUGAUGUAUCCUGAGUUAGGGAGAUUUAAUUCAAAUGAAGGAGUCAUUCUCAAAAUAAAAGCAUGGUAGUGUGGGAAACAGGUUACAUAUACAUUUUGAGCAGACUUUUUAUUGUUACUUUUCAUAGAUAGUGAUGUUGUAAAGAUUUUUAUAUGCAAAUUGAUUUUGAAUUCAUUAAUAGCAAAUACUGAAAAAUAGUAUUCAGCAAUUCAGAAGUUUUAUAUGUUUAUUUUGUAAUUUUUUUAAAUUGCUUGAAUAAGUCAGAUUUUUUACAUGUACUGAUGUAUUGAUUUUACAUACAUGACAUUUGUUUUAUCCAAUUGAUAAAUUUGGCAGAUAAAAAUGCAAGAUUUUUUUAGCAGAAAUGAAUUGUUUAAUGCCUUUUUAGCUCACCGUUCCAAAGGAAUAGUGAGCUUUUGCCAUCACUUGGCGUCCGUCAUCGUCUGUCGUCGUCCGUCUGGGGUAAACUAUUUCAAACAUCAUCUCCUCUGAAACAACUAAACCAAUUCCAAACAAACUUUAGCUGAAUGAUGCUUAGGGUAUCUAGAAUAAAGUUUGUGUUUUAUUUACUGUUUCGUCAAAUAACAUGGCUGCCAUGGCUAAAAAUAGAAUGUAGGGGUAAAAUGCAAUUUUUGGCUUAUAUCUCAAAAACCAAAGCAUUUAGAUCUAAUCUGAUGAGAGGUAAAAAUGUUUAUUAGGCCAAGCUCUGUCAGCCCUGAAAUUUUCAGAUGAAUCUUAUAACACAUUGUUGGAUUGCUGCCACUUAAUUGGUAAUUUUAAGGAAAUUUUGCAGAUUUUGGUUAUUAUCUUGAAUAUUAUUAAUGAUUAAGAUAAACUGUAAACAGCAAAAAUGUUCAGCAAAGUAAGAUCUACAAAUAAGUUUGAUGACCAAAAUUGUUAAUUGUCCCCUUAAGGAGUUAUUGCCCUUUAAAAUCAAUUUUUCACAAUUUGUUCGUUUAGUUUGCUUACUUUAAAAAAAUCUUCUCCUUUGAAACUGCUGAAUCAAUUUCAGCCAAACUUGGGCUGAAUGAGUUUCAGAGUAUCUAGUAUAAAUUUUGUAUUUUAUUUUCUUGUACGUCAAGAAACAUAGCCACGAUGGCUGAAAUGAAACAUAGGGGUAAAAUGCAUUUCUUUGAUUUUGAAGAAAAUAUGACAGAUACAAAGAACAUUUCAAUGGAAGUUUUAAGCCAUUCAUUAAUAUAUAUUGAAAAGCAAAAAUAAUCAUUGAUGAAAGAUUUAAGCAAAAAAUUACAUGUGAGUGAUUCAGGCUCUUGAGAGCCUCUUGUUUUAAUUGCAUUUGCAAAAAUAAUUUAAUGCAACAGUUUGUGUAGUAUAUGUGCAUAAUUUUAAAAUAGAAUAUAUUACAAAACUGGUA
This is a long non-coding RNA of Mytilus californianus (California mussel), 4195 nucleotides long. RefSeq lists it as uncharacterized. Lineage: Eukaryota; Metazoa; Mollusca; Bivalvia; Mytilida; Mytilidae. The transcript is spliced from 4 exons. The record is from RefSeq and is a predicted model, not a curated record.